Molecule: ribosomal RNA, 260 nt
Filed under: uncultured bacterium
Lineage: Bacteria
Description: partial small subunit ribosomal RNA
Rfam family: Bacterial small subunit ribosomal RNA
Source: RNAcentral
AGGACGAACGCUGGCGGCGUGCUUAACACAUGCAAGUCGAACGAUGAACUCACCUUCGGGUGGGGGAUUAGUGGCGAACGUGUGGGUAACACGUGGGCAACCUACCCUUGACUCUGGGAUAACUCCGGGAAACCGGAGCUAAUACCGGAUAUGAACACUGAGGACAUCCUCGGUGUUGGAAAGUUUUUUUCGGUCAGGGAUGGGCCCGCGGCCUAUCAGCUUGUUGGUGGGGUAAUGGCCCACCAAGGCGACGACGGGUA